UUAACUUAUUUGUAUAUUACUCAGACAACACAAAAAUCAAGAGUUUUGGGGUCCUCUGGCAGGCACAGACCAGCCAAAGCCGGUGGUCAUGAGACGGGCCUGCCAAAGCAACAAAGGUAUUGUAAACAAAGGGUGGGAGAUAUACCCCGUAAAGGGCAUGUUCUCAGUAAUGAUCCUUCCGCAGGUUCACCUACGGAAA
RNAcentral lists this unclassified non-coding RNA (199 nucleotides) under uncultured fungus. RNAcentral describes it as "sequence contains ITS1". Lineage: Eukaryota; Fungi. The record is from RNAcentral.